This 492-nucleotide ribosomal RNA is filed under the name uncultured bacterium. RNAcentral's name for it is "partial 16S ribosomal RNA". It matches the Rfam family "Bacterial small subunit ribosomal RNA", at positions 30 to 507 of the family's 1533-position model. The record is from RNAcentral.
AUUGAACGCUGGCGGCAUGCUUUACACAUGCAAGUCGAACGGUAACAGGCCUUCGGGUGCUGCCGAGUGGCGAACGGGUGAGUAAUGCAUCGGAACGUGCCCAGAGGUGGGGGAUAACGCAGCGAAAGCUGUGCUAAUACGGCAUGUGAUCUGAGGAUGAAAGCGGGGGACCAAGCAGCAAUGUUUGGCCUCGCGCCUCUGGAGCGGCCGAUGUCAGAUUAGGUAGUUGGUGGGGUAAAGGCCUACCAAGCCGACGAUCUGUAGCUGGUCUGAGAGGACGACCAGCCACACUGGGACUGAGACACGGCCCAGACUCCUACGGGAGGCAGCAGUGGGGAAUUUUGGACAAUGGGCGCAAGCCUGAUCCAGCAAUGCCGCGUGCGGGAAGAAGGCCUUCGGGUUGUAAACCGCUUUUGUACGGAACGAAAAGGCUCUGGCUAAUACCUGGGGCUGAUGACGGUACCGUAAGAAUAAGCACCGGCUAACUACGUG